AGCUAGAUGCUUUAAUAUUUAGUAAUUUCUGCCCACUGAAUUUUUAAUGGCCGCAGUAAUUUGACUGUGCUAAGGUAGCAUAAUCAAUUGGCUUUUAAUUGGAGUCUAGAAUGAAUGAAAAACUGUGGGGUACCUGUCUCUCUCAAAUUAUAUUGAAUUUAAUAAUAAGGUGAAAAUUCCUUAACAAAUAAAAAAGACGAGAAGACCCUUAGAGUUUUUUUGUUGGGGUGACAAAUGAGCUAACCUUAUUUAUAGAAAAGAUAAACUACCUUAGGGAUAACAGCAUAAUUUAUUAUUAAGAUUGUGACCUCGAUGUUGGACUAGGAAAUUUAUAAUUAGAAAUUAAAAUAAAUCGUUCUGUUCGAACUCAUUCUCCU
RNAcentral lists this ribosomal RNA (377 nucleotides) under Haploptychius sp. 3 TS-2020. Its description in RNAcentral is "partial large subunit ribosomal RNA". It matches the Rfam family "Archaeal large subunit ribosomal RNA", at positions 1909 to 2665 of the family's 2987-position model. Lineage: Eukaryota; Metazoa; Mollusca; Gastropoda; Stylommatophora; Streptaxidae. The record is from RNAcentral.